GGAGGAUCCAAGCGUUACCCGGAAUUACUGGGCGUAAAGAGUAGCGUAGGCGGUAUGCCAAGUUUUUGCUUAAAGACCAGGGCCCAACUCUGGGAAUGGCAAAAAAACUGGCAAACUAGAGGAAGAUAGAGGCGAGUGGAAUUUCCGGAGUAGGGGUGAAAUCCGUAGAUACCGGGAGGAACACCAAUGGCGUAGGCAGCUCGCUGGGUCUUUUCUGACGCUGAGGCACGAAAGCGUGGGUAGCGAACCGGAUUAGAUACCCGGGUAGUCCACGCCGUGAACGAUGGAUGCUAGCUGUUGGACGUAUCGACCCGUUCGGUAGCGAAGCUAACGCGUUAAGCAUCCCGCCUGGGGAGUACGAGCGCAAGCKKA
Molecule: ribosomal RNA, 372 nt
Filed under: uncultured bacterium
Lineage: Bacteria
Description: bacterial SSU rRNA
Rfam family: Bacterial small subunit ribosomal RNA
Source: RNAcentral